UUACUUUUCAGUGUAGUGAAGCAACACACAGAAAAUGGCAGAGAAUCUCAGCGGGUCAGGCAGCUUCUCAGCGGAUCCUGAAAGGGUCUUGGCCCAACACGUCAAUUGUUUAUUCUCCUCCACAGAUGCUGCUUGACAUUCCGAAUUCCUCCAGUAUUUUGUGAAGAUUUCCAGCAUCUGCGGAAUCACUUGUGACAAUGUGAUGAAUGGUGUUGUGUUGGUGAGUUCUUGGGCACUGUCGAUACUAUCAACGGUAUGGAGGGAUUAGUCUGUGAUGGGAAAUGCGAUACCCACUGCUCUCUACAGCAUGUUGCAUUGAAAUUAGCAUACCAGGCAAUGGGGAGCAUCAUGGCCUGGCACAGAAGCACGAGAUUGAAAGACGUUGCAGGUGCUUGUAAACUCAGUCAGCUGUAUCAUGAGAACUUGCCUCCUCACCAUUGAGAACAUCUUCAAAAAACACAGCAUCAGGAAGGCAUCACCCAGGACAUGCCCUCUUUGCAUUACUACCAUCAGGGAGGAGGUACAAGAGUCUGAAGACACACACUCAAUGUUUCAGGACCAUCUUCUUCCCCUCCACCAUCAGAUUUCUGAAUCAUCCAUGUACACUACCUCACUAUUUUGCUCCUUUUUUGCACUACUUAUUUGAUUUUUAAUGUAUUUCUUAUUGUGACUUAUAGCAAAUUUUUAUGUAUUGUUUUGCUGAAAAACAACACAUUUGAUGACAUAUUCUGUAAUUAUAAACCUGAUUUUAGGGAUACUUUUAACAUAAGACCACAAGAUCUGGCCCAUCAAGUCUGCUCCAUCAUUUCAUCAUGACUGAAUAAUCGGUGAGAUGCCAAAUCACCUUCAACUAUUAGGAAAGUAGAGGUUUUUGCAUGCCUUGUUCAUCAAUACAUCUACGUGCUCUGCCCAGGGCAGGCCAUCUGAGAUGUUAUAAUAAUGGCAGGACAUUACCCUUUUUGCACAAGCAUUGGCAGUUCACUUUGUUUUGAGGAAACUACCAUCAGUCUUCAUUCUGAAGAUUAGAAGGAGCAUCCAGUUAGCAAGAUGAGGGAGAUCCAUUUUCAUUGAGGGAUCAGUGGUGGAAAGGGUAAGCAGUUUCAAUUCCCUAGUAGUCAACAUCUCAGAGGAUCUGUCCUGGGUCCAGCACAUUGAUGCAAUCAUGAAGAAACCAGCAGCUGUGCUUUGUUAGGAGUUUGAAGAGCUUUGGUCUGUCACAAAGGCUCCAGCAAGUUUCUUUAGAUGUACAGUGGAGAGCAGACUGAUUGUAGCACAGCCUUGUAUGGAGAGAGAUGAAAGAUUAGCUUUAUUUGUCACAUGCACAUUGAAGAAUACAGUGAAAUACAUUGUUUGCAAUAACCAAAUCCCUGAGGUUGUGUAGAACAAUCCACAGGUGUCACCACACUUCCAGCAUCAACUGAAGGUCAACUGAAGGGAUAACAAGUGAACAAGGGCCUGUAUGAACACAAGCACUCCCAGAGAGAAACACUGCAACAUGAAAGGUGCAAACACUUUUACUGUACUCGCAAGACCCUGCUGAACAUUGGUAAGACAAAAUACUGAUGCUUUGAUUCUCCUUCCCUAGGAUGUACAGACCAGGGCCUCAUGCCACAGCGUCACCUGUAACAGGAGGCACUGGAGGCGAUGUGGGAGAGAGCAGUCAUGCCAUGGGUGUGCUGGAAUCCGGGUGGAGUUGGGGGCAGACCCCGAAAACCAAUUCUCCCAAUGGUGCUGGUCUCCGGUGUUCACUCCCUGGAAAAGAAGCUGGAUUGCCUCCAUCUUCAGCUGACCCAGCACAAGGCAACCUGAUCUGAAAUUGAACCCGGGUUUCUGGUACUGUGAAGCGUUGUGCUAACCUCUAUACUAACAUGCUAUGUUCUUAUGCUGCCACAAGACAACAAAAUUCACAUUGUUUAAGACGCUGAUAAUAAACCCGAUUCUGAUUUUGAGGUUACCCCUCCCUUUUCGCAAGACUGUACAGAGAGGAAAUUAACGCCAGCUCUUUCUCUCCCCAUCUCCAGCCUCUGCCUCUGGGUAAACUGACUUAGUUUUUGCAACACAGCAUCAAGUCUAAUGCAGGAGCCCAAUCGCCCGUGAAGCAAUGAUUGUGCUGUGUGUCUGUGCAGUGUGGCAGGCAAUCAAAGACCAGCGGCCAUGGGGCAUUUUAGCAGGAGAUGAGGCUGUCAGCUCUUUUAAAGUGCUGAAGUGGUUGGCAGAACAGAACAAAUUUGGCAAUUCGGUGCAGCAAUGAAUCAGUGAUUAGUGCCUAGUAGCACCAACUGAUUUUGAAUAGAGUUUAAAUGGCGUCGCUUCCAAUAGCUGAAUAAGCAUUUGAUUAGCUCUGAAUGGCUAUUCCCAACAGCCUCUUCAGUGUGAUUGUCCAUUUGACUGCAAAUACACUCAAAAACCCGGCAAAAAUAACUGUAUCCCACAUAGUGUGAUGCAGGGUUCUACGAGUUGUGAAUUGGCUCUUAAACACAGGGAAGGUUUACAACCAUCAGGUGUAGCUCCAUCAAAAGAAAGGAAAUGAUAGGCCAGUUAGUCUGACUUCAGCAGAUGGGAAGAUGCUGGAUUUGAUUGUUAAGGAUAUGUGUUUUGGUGUACUUGGAGCCACAUGGUAAAAUAGGCCUAAUUCAGCAUGGUUUCCUUCAAGGGAAAUUUUACCUGACAAAUCUGCUAGAAUUCUUUGAGGCAAUAACACGCAGGAUAGACAAAGGAGAAGCGGUGGAUGUUGUGUACUUGGAUUUUUAGAAGACCUUCAACAAGGUGCCAUACCGGAGGUUGCUUAACAAGAGUCCAUGGUAUUACAGGAAAGAUACUAGCAUGGAUAGAGCAUUGGCUGAUUGGCAGGAGGCAAAGACUGGUAUAAAGAGAGCCUUUUCUGGUUGGCAGUCAAGGACUAGUAGUGUUCCGCAGGGGUCGGUGCAGGGACAUUGUAUGUUGAUGAUUUGGGUGAUGGAAUUGAUGGCUCUCUGGCGAAAUUUGCAGCCAAUAUGAAGAUAGGUGGAGUUGCAGGUUGUGUGAAGGAAGGAAGAAGGCUGCAGAAGGACUUGGACAGAUGAAAGGAAUAGGCAAAGUAAUGUGGGCUGAAGGGCCCAUUCUUGUCCUGUACCAUUGUAUAUUCGAUGGAGGAGAUAAAGUACAGCUUCACAAUGUGGUGGAAAUAGCCCAGUCCAUCACAGGAAAGGCCGUCCCCACCACUGAGCCCAUUCUACAAGGAGCACUACCACAAGAAAGCAGCAUCUGUCUCCAAGGAUCCCCACCAUCCAGCCUAUGCUCUCCUUUUGCUGCUGCCAUCAGGAAGGAAGUAGAGGAGCCUUGGGAUCCACAGCACCAGGUUCAGGAACAAUUUUUUCCCUUCAACCAUCAGACACCUGAAUCAGUGUGGAUAACUUCGGUCACCUCAACUCUGAACUGACUCCACAACCUAUGCACUCAUUUUCAAGGACUCUACAACUCAGUAUUAUUUACUUAUCGAUUGAUUGGUUGGUCUUCUUUUGCACAGAUGUUUGUCAGUCUUCGUGUGUACUUUUUAAAUGAGUCUUUUGUAUUUUUCUGUUCUACUGUGAAUGCCCACAAGAAUAUAAAUCUCAGGGUGCUAUAUGAUGACAUAUCUGUACUUUGAUCAUAAACUUACUUCAAACUUUUUAACUUUGACCUUAAUCUUGUUCUAAUAAUUGCUUUAUUUAAGCAGCAAAAAGAACUAAGUUAAUUCUGGAUUUAAAAUUGGAAGUAAAUUGGUAAAUCGGUUUACUAUUCUCACACAGAUCAGAUAAAGCUGCAGAAAAUUGCAAGCUGCCAGCUCCAGCAUGGGCAGUAGCCUCCCCAGCAUCGAGGACAUCCUUAAAAGGCAAUGCUCCAGAAAGCCAGUGUAAGUCAUUGAGGACCCCAUCACCAGUAACAUGCCAUCUUUUUAUUGUUACCAUCAAAGAGGAGGUACAGGAUCCUGAAGACACACACUCAACACGUCAGAAACUUACACACACAUGCACACACACACAAUUAUAUAUGCAAAAAAAAUAUGUGUGCGUACACACAUACCCAUUCACACACAUAUUUCCAAUUGUAAUUUAUAGUCUUCUUAAAUGAUUAUGUAUUACACACCACUGCUGCCACAAUACAGCAAAUUUCAUGGUAUAUGCCAGUGAUAUUAAACCUGAUUCUGACGUAUCAAGGUUCAGUGAAACAGCAUGCCAUCCAUACAGAUGAUUUCAGCACAUUAGUGCACAGGGGAAAAAUAGUAAUGGAAUGCAGAAUUCUUUGAGUCAAAGAAUUUUGAUCUAAAAGUUUAGAAUGAUUAUAUCAAAAAUAGUGAGUAGAACAGCAGAGAGAGAAAGUUAGGUACUGUAAGUUUAACUUAACCAGAAUUUAGUUUCAGAUUUCUUAUUUAGAGAUACAGGCCUUUGCAGCCCAAUAAGUCCAUUCUGUUCAUUUACACCCAAGUGAUCAAUUAACCUCCUCAUCCAUUUGUCUGAGUGCUCUGGGAGUAAACCAGAGCACUCAGAGGAAACCCACAUAGUUAUGGGGAGAAUGUACAUACUCCUUAAAGGCAGUGGUGACAAUUGAGCCCUAGGGCCACUGGCAUUGUAAUAACGUUAUGCUAACUGCUACACUAUGGUGCCAUUCUGAACUUCCAGCUGAUACAGCGUGGAAUAGGCCUUUCUGGCUCUUCGAGCCAUGUAGCCAAGCAAUCCCUUGAUUUAACUCGAACCUAGUCACGAGUCAAUUUUCAAUGACCAAUUAACCUACUAACCACUAUGUCUUUGGACUGUGGGAGUAAGCCCACACUGUCACAGGGAGAACAUACAAAAUCCUUACAGGCAGUGAUGGGAACUGAACCUGGGUCACUGGUACUGUAAAGGGUUCUGCUAACCACAAUGCUAGUAUGCCACCCUGAGCCUCUGCAGCUUUUCUUUGAUUUGUUAGCUAGAGCUUCUCAUGUAACUUUUCUGACUUUAUCAUUUAAUCUCCCUUGCCUUCUCUCAGUGAAGUGCUUUGAGAGAUAAGGGCAGCUGGAUGUCGAUCAGUUAUUCUUUAUGAAUUCACGGCUGGCAGCCGGCAGAGAGUUCCUGCCUUCAUUUAGACCAUGUCAUUGGUAGAAGGGUUUAUGAUAUUAGCUGCCUUCGGUGAAAGUGCAGUGUUUAGAAGUUACACAUUAAGAUUGAACAUCUGAACAAGGUGAGAUCCAUCUGUGAAUCCUCACAGGAAAUCUACAAGAAAGGAGCAAGUUUCUGGUUUAAUAUUUUAGAAGCUCGAUAAAUUCAGAGGCCGGGCCUGUGGCAUGGAAUAUAGAUUAUAAAGUCUCAAAAGUAAUUACAGACCUGUUAGUGUAAGUGGCAUCCACAGUGUGGAAUAAGAAAGCUCUGGAGGAUUCACUCAGGAUGUGUUCAGAGAGGAAAAGCUAUAAGGAGAGCUUGACGAGUUCAGAGACAAUCAGUUGUGACUUGGGAAUUGAUGCAAUUCUUUGAGCAGAUAACUCAAUUGGUAGGUGAAAUUUACUCAGAAGGCAGAAGAUGUCAAGUUCCAAUUGUAUUGAGCCAUGUUCACAGUGCACCUUGAGUACUGAGUCCAGUCGAGGUUACCUAAACACGAGGGAGGUCUGCAGAUUUAUUUUUCCUGGAGCGUGAAUAGCGAUGGCAGUGAGCUCCUAAAAGAAGCAAAGCUUUGUGUUUCUCCUACUCCUUCCCUGCCUUUUUCAGCACGAACACAAGUUCCAAUGUGCUGUGGUAGAGGGAGAUACUUUAGGGGCAUUUAAAAGACUCUUAAAUGCCCAUCACCUCCCUCUGGUUCCCCUCCUCUUUCCUCUUUCCUCACCCUCUCAAAAUGUCCAUCACCCAGACACUCCUCCCACCUCUUCCUCUUCCCACUUCAUUUCCUUUCUUCCAUGGUCCACUGUCCUCUUCAAACAGAUACCUUUUUCUUCCACUUGUCACCUCCCAGUUUCUUCCUUCAUCCCCCCCCAUUGCUUCCGCCCAACCACCUCCCCCCCCCCCACCUGGUAUCACCUGUCACCUGUGCUCCUCCACUACCCACCUUAUUAUUGUAGCUGCUUCCACCUUUCCUUUCCAGUCCUGAUGAAGAUUUUGGCUCAAAAGCUCAACUUAUUCCCCUCCAUAAUUGAAGCCUGACCUUUUGAGUUCCACCAGCAUUUUGUGAGAGUUUCUCAGAACACAGAGAGAUGAGUUUUUACUCUCUGCUGAUAAAUGGCUGGAUGAAGAGCAGCUAGAAAAUUCGGUGUGGGGAGGUUGUCAGGUGGAAGGGAGUGGUAGGACUUAAGUGGAGUACAUCGCACAAAAUGAGGGGUCAGCGCCGUCUUGAAUUUCCAUCCACUUAAAUGUGAGGUUACUGAGGUAGUUGAGUUUUUCACACAGAGUGGUGGGUGUGUAGAAUGCCCUGUCGGGGUGGUGGUAGAGGCAGCUGUAUUAGAGGAAUUUAAGAGACUCUUAGGCAUAUGGAUGAUAGAAAAAUGUAGGGCUAUGUGGGAGGGUUAGAGUAGGUUAAAGGUCAACACAACAUUGUGGUAGUAAAGUAUUUGAAGUUAUUUGAAUUAAAUCAAAUCAGUCAAGAUGUCAUCAUGCUAUGGCCUCUGUCAAGGUCAUAGCUCAGACAUAAUUGUUUAUUUUAAUUCGUAGAGAUGGUUUUGGAGACCAUGGUUUUGGAGACAUGGAGACAUUGGUUUUGGAGUGGAGAAUUAAAGAUCAAGUGAUGGGUAAUGGUUUAAGGACAGGGACUGUGUGUGUGUUUGUGUGCAUGGCUGGUGGAUGGGAGGAUGGAAUUCUGCUUGUUUUGGUGUUAUUGGUGUGUUCUGUCUCAAAUGUCAAGUUUCAAGUUUAAUUAUCACUAUGCAUGGCUAUAGCCAAAUCAAACUGUUUUCCUCCAGGACCAACUGUAAAACAUUCCCAGCAGCACUCAUCACAUUGUAAGUAGGAUGUAGCACAUAUAGCAUAUAUGGUUACGAUUUCAGGGAAAAAAUACAGUUACAAAGAGAGAAAAAAAUAACGUAGCCCUGAGUUGUCCUGAUCCAGCUUGCUGUUCCAGCAAACAAAUGCUGGGGGCAGCACUGAGCAAACACCAGAGAGCAGCACCAAGCGAACACUGGAGAGCAGCACCAAGCAAACACAGAGGGGAGCACCAAGCGAAUACUAGAGGGCAGCACAGAGCAAACACUAGAGGGCAGCACUGAGCAAACACUGGAGAGCAGCACUGAAUGAACACUGAGGGGAGCAUCUACAGGAGGGGCUAUCCCCCAACACUGUACAAAAUCCAGUUGCACACAGAGCCAGCUCCAACGACUCCUUCACUGGCAACCAUCAGCAGGCAACUCAGAGGCAUGUGGGCCUUGUCUAUGCAACAGCUGAGGCAACACAGCUCUCUCACCAUCGGUCUAAAAAUGAGCCAGUGAACCGGGCUUGCAGCAUUCUACAUUACCAAUGUCUGAGAGGGUCUUGUGAACACAAUAAAAAUGUCCAAGGCAAUCACUCAUUCAGCAACGUCCAGGCGACAACACACCAAUGGUAUGCAAUAAGACCAGCUCCAUCACUAUUGAGUGACUCACUGAUGGCGUAGUCCUGCAGUACUUGAUGUUCUCAGUAUCCAGCAGUGAUUGUCAAACACAAGAGGAAUAUACAAGAUGAACAAAUACACCUUUGAUUGGACCCGGAGUGCCCACUGCGUCCAAGCACACUGCCAUGUUAACGGAAGUUCUAUGUUGUUCUGCCAAGCAUUGUGUCCAUGCUGUAUUGGCACCGGGAAGUGUGGCAACAAUUGUGAAUUUACCCCAGCACAUCUUUAGGUUUUUGUUGGUUGCAUGUUUCAACGUAUUUGUAAUAAAUAAACGAGCCUGAAUCUAAAUAAAAUGAGCCUGCCCUUGAA
Long non-coding RNA from Hypanus sabinus (Atlantic stingray), 7872 nucleotides. RefSeq lists it as uncharacterized. The transcript is spliced from 2 exons. The record is from RefSeq and is a predicted model, not a curated record. NCBI's taxonomy places the organism in Eukaryota, Metazoa, Chordata, Chondrichthyes, Myliobatiformes, Dasyatidae.